UCUAGGCAUUAUGGGGACCGCUGGAUUAAGGCGACAAAAAUUGGUCUCCUUAAUAUUUUCAGUCCAGAUUUGAUGUAUCAAAUGUCAAUAAAAAUGUCCAUUGACAGUAAGUUGAUAAGCUUGAAUGUUUAUUUACGAGAUCAUUUCAUUGUUUUAAAUCUUAUUAUCUUUUAAUAUUAAAAAAAAUAUUCUUAAACUUUUGUGUGUGUAUAUUUGUGUAUCCAUAAAAAUAGCUAUUAAGGCGACCAGGGAAAAAAUCAUAAUUUUGGUCAAAAAUAGCUAUAUACUAAGCAUUUUUUAUUUGUUUUACUUUAUUUAAAGCCUAUUGUAUUUUAUCCCGAAGUUUCAUUCCAUAAAAAACAGAAAUAAGGAAAUUCGAUAUUUCGUGUACCACCAGCAUCCAAAUUUUCAAGUAUACAGAAAUUUAACUUUCCGGAAUAUAACGGAAAUUUUCGGGUAUCUCCGUGGUACCAUCUCCGUGCAAUUAUGCAGUAUGGCGUUCAUCUCUUACGGAAAGAGAAUGGUAACUUGUUGCUGCUUGGGACAAUAAAGUUAAGUCAGCAACCGUCUACCAGACUGCAAGAUUCAUCUCUUCCAAAGGAUGUCGUACCUUUCCAGAUACACUGUGUUUUGUGUGGAUAAGAAAUGCAGAGUGGUACCACCAAUCACCUAAGCCACCAUUCCCCUAACAGACAAUAGGCUCAUGGGGACAGUUCCUGCAAUUUACAGAAAAGCUCUCAAUUGUAGCCCUACGAACUUCAGAUACUGCCGAUGGUGAAGCUUGGGUGCACCGGGCCGGUUUUCCAGCCGUGUGGAAUCAACAUCUCCAGCUGAACUGGGGCCGGGAAUUAUAUAAGACUCCUUAGCAGCAUGAGUGCCAGCCAGUCAUUGCUGUUCUUGCAUUGCUGAGGAGGACAGUCCUGCCAACAUAACAGUUUGUUCAAUAACAGGAGACAAACAGAAACACAGAGGUGCUAUACAUUCUGAUGGAAAAACAAAAGCAUCUCCCAUCAUUUUGGCGUGGCUCAGAUCAAGAGGAGAAUUUUAAGAAAGGUGAUGGUUGGGCACACACAAGAAGACAUAGAUCACAGGUGUCUAGCCAUAUGAGUAGAUAGGAGUGUCACACUCUGCCAAACUUACUUCAUCAGACGAGCAGAAAGCUUCUCAAGAUCCCGCACUGCACACUAAGACAUAGUCUUUGACUACAACAAGGUGAUGAAAGUACAGAGGUCCAAUUGAAAUCAAUUCUGUGCUGCUGUCAUUUCUUCAUUCUGGAAGUCGAUGGACAUGAUUUAUUAUGGCAUCAAGUGUGCAGUUUGCCGACUAUCAGCAGUCUUGUUCACCAGCUGUGCAACUUGAGCUGGUAGCUUUAUUGCUUGAAGCCACUGCAUAAGAGGGGGAAGGUGCAGGCUCAUCAAAAAGUCUCAAAAGUUGAAACUAGGAAAAGAAGUUUAUCAAGAGUGUGAAUCUAUUUUGAAAACAAUCGUUACAAUGAUUUGGUUUCCUUUGAAACUUCAUACAUACUAUGAAUUGAGAUGCUUAAAUAAAAAACCGCUAUUCAAAUAUCAGGAAACUGCCUUUUUCAUACUAAAGGGUAAAUGAUGUCGCCAUUUCCUGUAUGUAUUUAAAUAAGAUAUGUCUCCACAAUUAAUAUUUUUAGGGAAUUUUUCUCAACCUAAUGAAUGAGAUUAAAUUGUACAGCGUUAUAUGAG
Molecule: long non-coding RNA, 1712 nt
Organism: Mya arenaria
Lineage: Eukaryota; Metazoa; Mollusca; Bivalvia; Myida; Myidae
Exons: 7
Source: RefSeq, a predicted model, not a curated record